UUCCAAGUCUCCAAUAGCCACCCAUUGCCACCCCCUUUACCUCUCCUCCCACUUCCCAAUUCAGCCCAACUCAAAUGGCAACAGAGAGAGCUCAUAAUGUUCAUGCACUUUGGCAUGAACACCUUCACAGACUCAGAGUGGGGAACAGGGCACGAAAGCCCGACCACCUUCGCACCAACCUCUCUCGACACAAGCCAAUGGGCUCGAGUAGCCAAGGACUCGGGCUUCUCUCUCGUCAUACUCACCGCUAAGCACCAUGAUGGCUUCUGCUUAUGGCCCUCAAAAUACACAGAUCACUCUGUGAAAUUCAGUCCAUGGAAGAAUGGAACAGGGGAUGUGGUCCAUGACUUUGUGGACUCGGCUCGAGCCCAGGGCUUGGAUGUGGGCUUGUACCUCUCGCCAUGGGAUCGGCACGAGCACACUUAUGGGCGCGACUUGCCUUAUAAUGAGUUCUAUUUGGGCCAGCUACAGGAAUUGCUAAGAAGGUAUAGGACUUAAUUUCAUGUUCAUUUCUUUUAGUUGAUAGUAUAAUUUUAUUUUAUGAGCAUAAUUUGAUUCGUUAGCGACAUAAUGGUAAGCUAUCAUGACCGAUAGAAAUUUGGGGGGACUUUUUUUUUUGUUUGUUUUUGGUGGUAUGAUGGUUCGUUUGUUCUUCACCUAUGGGGAAAAAGAAAAAAUAAAAGGAAUUUGAUAAGUUUAUUUUAUCAGCAUAAUUUGAUUAGCUAGCGACGUAAUGGUUAGUUAUAAUGACCAAUAGAAAUUUGGGGGUCUUUUUUUUUUUUUGGGUGAUAUGAUGUUUUGUUUGUUCUUCACCAAUGGGUAAAAAGAAAAAGAGGAUUUGAAAAGUAAGGGGAAAAAAAAAGAAGAGAAGUACGCCGAAUAACAAAAGUUAGGAUGAAGUUUCGAUAGGGCGAAAACAAAAUAAAGCCUCAACUCAAAUGCUCAUCCAAAAGGCACUUUCGGCAUUAGGAAUCUUUAUGAUGGCUCUAAAAUUAAUUUUCAACACUGACAACAAAAUUUGAAACUCAAAAAUUCUCUAAAAUUAAUUUCAACACCGGCAAUAAAACUUAAAACUCAAAAAUUGAUUCAGAUCUUGUGGAUUUGUAAGCAUUUAUUUUUUGGACGAAUUGGAUGGUCAAGAUUAUUUGUUGCUAUAUACACUAUUUUUAGAUUUUAAAAUCCUAAUUUUUUUGCACAACCAUAAUGUUCAUGUUGAGAUGAUCGAUUUAAAGGUUGUUCCACACUUGCAUUGCAAUUUUUGAUGAGUUAUGAGGUGACACAGUACAAUACGAUAAAGAUGCAGCCCUAUCAAACCAUUCUCGGACAAAUUACGUGAAAAACGCACUAACUUUUUCUUUGCCCUUUUUAUAAAAUCAUGGUGCGUUUGCUUUCCACGCUCAUUGUCCUUUGGACAUGAAAAAUUUAUGGUACCACACUCUUGGUUGUUUUGUAUGUAGCAUGCUGGUCUCUACCAUCUCUUUGCAAUAACAUAUAGCAACGGGGAUCAGUAUAAAAAUUAAUAUUUGAAAAUGUAGACAUGGGUUUGGACUCAGCAGGCGCUCAAGUCCAUAGAGAAUUGGCUGUGUCAGAAGUCCAACUAGGCCAUUUUUUAGGGACAGUAACAAGGACCCUAGGUUUUGGGUGACUCCGUACAGAAUCUAGGGCCCGAGUUCGAACGCACUCUAAGUGAUUCCAAAUCGGUUCAGGGAUGUUUAUAUCAGUGAUAUAAACAGCAUAUUCAUGUUAUAUACUAGACAAACCGAAGGUAAACAAAUUAUGGAAAAGUUGCCAUUACAUACGGUAUACUUUUCCUGAACUUAUUUAUGAUAAGAAAAGGGAAAGUAGAGAAUAAGGGAGUAGUACACAACAAACGCCAACAUAUUAACUAAGAAUGGCAAAGUAUGGAAUGAGGGGAAAAUAUGCAAUAUGACUAUUUACUUUUGAUACAACAUCACAAUUGCCUUUAACUGUUAAAUGAUAUCAAACAUGCUUAAAGUACAAAGUAAUUUUUUUNNNNNNNNNNNNNNNNNNNNCUUCCAAGUCUCCAAUAGCCACCCAUUGCCACCCCCUUUACCUCUCCUCCCACUUCCCAAUUCAGCCCAACUCAAAUGGCAACAGAGAGAGCUCAUAAUGUUCAUGCACUUUGGCAUGAACACCUUCACAGACUCAGAGUGGGGAACAGGGCACGAAAGCCCAACCACCUUCGCGCCAACCUCUCUCGACACAAGCCAAUGGGCUCGAGUAGCCAAGGACUCGGGCUUCUCUCUCGUCAUACUCACCGCUAAGCACCAUGAUGGCUUCUGCUUAUGGCCCUCAAAAUACACAGAUCACUCCGUGAAAUUCAGUCCAUGGAAGAAUGGAACAGGGGAUGUGGUCCAUGAGUUUGUGGACUCGGCUCGAGCCCAGGGCUUGGAUGUGGGCUUGUAC
Molecule: long non-coding RNA, 2427 nt
Filed under: Amborella trichopoda
Lineage: Eukaryota; Viridiplantae; Streptophyta; Magnoliopsida; Amborellales; Amborellaceae
Description: long non-coding RNA (ATRI_LNC005297)
Source: RNAcentral